RNAcentral lists this long non-coding RNA (3020 nucleotides) under Corvus moneduloides (New Caledonian crow). RNAcentral describes it as "lncRNA (ENSCMUG00000002132.2)". Lineage: Eukaryota; Metazoa; Chordata; Aves; Passeriformes; Corvidae. The record is from RNAcentral.
ACUAGAGCCCGAUGACUGAAUUCACACCCCGUUUCCAGGCUGAAUUUUUAGCUAUAAAAAUCACCACUCACGGUAGUGCUUGGGUUACAAACUGGGCUGUUUUCAUUCAAGACACAUCCUUUGCUCUUUAUUCCAUUCCUCACGUCACUCAGUGGCAAACUAUUUAACGCAACAUAAUUCACCUGUCUAAAGCACCUAAAAGCCAAGUACCUGACUCUGAUGUGUACCCCAGACAGGAGCAGGGUCCCCCCGCGACACAAACCCAAGCCGAGCUCCGGUGCAGCAGCAGAGGCCGACCUAGGGCUGAGCGGGCAGCACCGAACAGACUGCCGGGGCUGCUGCUCCGGCCUGACGGGAUCACGGGCGUGAUGGAUGUUGGCGCUGCAGCUGCUCGUGCUUUUGGACAAGUCACUGAACAUCUCUGAACUGUUGUUUUGGUUUUUAUUUUUAUUUUGUAAGAGAAAAUUAAAUGUCCAAAGCCACGCUCGCCCAUCCCGGUAAAGAAUACCACACAUACAGAUAGCCCGAGUUCCGCUGCUCGCCCCCCUUCGCCCGCCCCCGGCCGCCUUCAUCUGCCCACAGCGCAGCCGGGCCUCGCCAUGCGGCGCAGCGCCCGGCCCGCGCGGCACCGCGAAAUGGCGGACCGCCCCUCCAGCCGUGCCUCCUACCGCCUUCCCCAGCUUCCAGCUCGCGGCAGCGGCGGGAGGAUGAUCCGGCCCCCCUGCGGGCGGCGGGGCGGGGCGGGGAUGGGAUAGAGCAGGAGCGGCUCUGCAGGACCGCCACGGCACCACCCGACAUGGCGGCGAUGGCUGCCCCUCAGCGCGGGCGAGCAGGGCGGGCCCGGGGCGGGGCCUGCGGAGCCCAUAAAGCGCCUCGCGCGGGCCCUCGCGGCCUCUUUCUCCGCAGCGGCCGAGGUGCGUAGAGGUACUGGUGGGCUGGGCGGAUCUGGGAUUCCCCUCUGCCCCUUCCUGGGUGGGUGGCCGGGCCUCUGCGGGCGGCCCGGGGCGUCUCCGUGCCCGCCCGCCCGACCGCUGAGGCAUCCGCCCGUUCCGUGUGAUCGCCUCGCUCCCGCUCGGCCUCGGGUCUUAUCCCCAAGGGCCCCUCACCGGGCUCCGGCCGCUCUUCCCUGGAAGGUCACACGGAGCUUCCCCGGACGUGUCCAGGCGUUCGCUGGUAGAGGUGAUGACUCUUUCCCCGUCAGAGCGACAGUGUUGACUACCGCUGUCCAAGCCAGGGCGCGGCAGAGCCCAAGGCGCCGGCGGGAGCCCCGUGCCCCACGCCAGGCCGGCGAUGAGGGCACUUCCGCGGCGUGCGCCGGCAGGCCCGAGCCCCUGCCAGGGCCCAGCGGGCACUGUGAAGGCAGAAGUGGGGCUGAGCCUUGGGGAGACCUGAAGUUAAGGCUGCAGCUGACAGUGAAGAAGUGUGUGAUGUGAGCAGUUGUCUGGUUUGCUCCACCAUGUGUGCCCCUGUGCCAGGGGAGAAUGGUUGAGACUUAUAAGAAGUUGUCCUGGGCCCUCCGGGGGUUUCAGUGCUCUGCUAAAGAAGAUGGAUGGUUCUGCUGCUCCCAUGCUGCUGCCUGGGAUCCUCAUCCAAGCCACAGCAUUCACAUCACCCUGCGACAGCUCUGGUCUUUCCUCAGAGCUGUCAGGCGUGAUGAAUUUGUCUCCUGCCAACAGAUAGAGGGUGUUACAUUUUUUGUCCCCUGGGUACAAGGCAUGUAACUGGAAUGUAUGCUGGAACUUGCUGCAUGUUUAAUGCAGUUGGAUGCUUUUGUCUGCAGGGGCUGCAUUCCUUGCCUGGAAUGUUAUCCUGCCACAGUCAUUAAAGGCAAGGAAAAUGCUCCUUGGAGCAGUUGUCAGGUUGGGAGGAUGGCCUUGUGUGUAAGGAAAGGAGUCAGGGCUUGAUUCUCCCCUGCCAAUCCAGAAAGCUUUAGUGGUGUAUCCCUGGCAGUCUGUGAAGAGGGCAAGGGGUGUCUGGAUGCUGCAGCACAGUGUGUUUCUGUACUGUUGAGAGCCUGUUUUUAAUAAAAUCUGAGCACUGGGUGAAUUUGGCUGGUGACUGAAAUUCUCUUGACCCACGUUUAACAGCUCAUUCCUGGAUCUCCCAAUUGUUUGGGGAGUUGGAGAGCACAGCAACAGUGUGCUGCUGUGAGUGAUAAUGGAGCUGCCUGCUGCCUCAAGCCAGGAGAUGAGGCAUGAUCUCAUGGAACAGAGCUCCACACACCCUGGAGUAGAAGUGCUUGGCUGAGGCUGUGGCUGCUGCUGUGCUGCAGGUAUCACGAGGGCAGGCUGUGCUCAGCCACUGGACAAGGGUGGUCCCUCAGUUAAAUAAAACAGUUCCAGUGGUUUUGGGAGGGGACUUUUUGAUGUCUGAGCUGACAGUGGCCUUUGCCAUGUAUGCUUGUUAGGAAACAGCAAUGAUGGAAAGUCGACUACUAUUCAGCAUUCAAAGGAGUCUUCAAUUUAAUUGAAUCGAGAUUUUUCUCAUUCAAUUAAUGUAAGCAGUGUGAUCUCUUGAAACUACAUAUUGAUGAGGGACCAGAACUGCUGCUAGUAUAAUUACUUCAUUAAUGUAAUGAGCAGACCUACCAGCAAACAUCCUGUAGGGAGGAGAGAGUGCUGCUUGUCCAGUGGGAGCUGGAGGCACAGAUGCAGCUUAAACAUGUUCUUGGCAUGUUUUACUACCUCUGCAAGAACAGUUGCUCAGGUCGGGUUUCAGACUGUUGCUAUUGCACGCACGCAUCAGGAUGCAAUUUCAAACUGUUGGUAGGGUGCUAAUCCCAGGCAGCCCCUGACUGCUGGGGGCAGGGUCUGGGUUCCUGGGAGCUCGGUUUGGGUUCCUGGGGGCGCAGGGUCUGGGUUCCUGGGGGCGCAGGGUCUGGGUUCCUGGGGGGCAGAGUCUGGGUUCCUGGGAGCUGGGUCUGGGUUCCUGGGAGCUGGGUCUGGGUUCCUGGGGGGCAGGGUCUGGGUUCCUGGGGGCGCAGGGUCUGGGUUCCUGGGGGGCAGAGUUUGGGUUCCUGG